This 74-nucleotide transfer RNA is filed under the name uncultured Actinomycetes bacterium. RNAcentral describes it as "tRNA-Ala". It matches the Rfam family "tRNA". From Rfam's summary of the family: Transfer RNA (tRNA) molecules are approximately 80 nucleotides in length. RNAcentral also lists the same sequence under 1 other name. Lineage: Bacteria; Bacillati; Actinomycetota; Actinomycetes. The record is from RNAcentral.
GGGGAAUUAGCUCAAUUGGUAGAGCACUGCCUUUGCAAGGCAGGGGUUAGGGGUUCGAGUCCCCUAUUCUCCAC